This is a non-coding RNA of Desulfobacterales bacterium S3730MH5, 223 nucleotides long. NCBI's taxonomy places the organism in Bacteria, Pseudomonadati, Thermodesulfobacteriota, Desulfobacteria, Desulfobacterales. The record is from Rfam.
CAAGCCCUCCUGGGUAAGGCCUAGUCAGCCGCCCGGUAGUAUAUCUUACUAUAGUAAGGAGGUAUGCGAGUCAAGCGAGGUGAAGGGUGUAUGCCCUGAAUCUGCCCCUUAGCCCCGAGAAGGAAGAAUUUUGGGACCGUGCCGAUCCUCUGGAAUAGGGCGCAGGCGAAAUGGGAGGCGCGUUAAAGACGAGUGUUUUCCAGCACCCCGGGGUCUCAGACAG